CCCUGUGGGGUCUGGGGGGUCCCUAUGGGGGUUUCUAUGGGGUCUGGGGGGUCCAUUUAUGGCUUAUAUGAGACAAGUGGGCGUGGCCACACGAGGCCACGCCCCUCGGUGGGCGGGACGCCCGCUGACCACGCCCACUUCCGACAGUUACCUCCUGGGUGGCUCCGCCUCUUCUGGCAGCGACGGGGAGGAGGAGCCAACUGAAGCUCCGCCCACCUCCCACCAACGCCCCGCCCAUGUGGGCGGUGCUACCACGGCUAAGCCCCGCCCCCCGACACCGCCCUCGUCCAAUGGCAACACUCCUGAAGGUGACGCUGAGGACAGCGCUGGGGACACAGAGGACGAAUUGCGGCGGUGAGACCCCAUUGGUGACCCCGCGGUGACCCCAUGCUGACCCCCCAAGUACCCACUGUGAUGACCUUGUGGUGACCCCAUCACCUUGUGGCGACCCCGUGGUGACCCCUGUGACCCUGGGUGACCCCUGAGUGACCCCGUGGUGACCCUGGGUGACCUCUGUGACCCUGAGUGACCCCUGGGUGAUCUCAUGAUUCUGUGACCCCGUUCUGACCCCUUGGUGACCCCUGUGACCCCUGGGUGGUCCCAUGACCCCGUGCUGACCCCGCGGUGACCCCGUGACCCCGUGGUGACCCCGUGACCCCGCAGGGUGACCUCGCUGCCCCCCGAUGACCCCUAUGGCGGCUCCACAGAGGAGAACACCGACAGCGACGACGACCCCAUCCCCCCACUGCCCGGUGCGACCCCCUGAC
RNAcentral lists this long non-coding RNA (767 nucleotides) under Phasianus colchicus (ring-necked pheasant). Its description in RNAcentral is "lncRNA (ENSPCLG00000017333.1)". Lineage: Eukaryota; Metazoa; Chordata; Aves; Galliformes; Phasianidae. The record is from RNAcentral.